This 279-nucleotide ribosomal RNA is filed under the name uncultured bacterium. RNAcentral describes it as "partial 16S ribosomal RNA". It matches the Rfam family "Bacterial small subunit ribosomal RNA", at positions 506 to 784 of the family's 1533-position model. The record is from RNAcentral.
UGCCAGCCGCCGCGGUAAUACGGAGGGUCCAAGCGUUAUCCGGAAUCAUUAGGUUUAAAGGGUUCGCAGGCGGAAUUUUAAGUCAGUGGUGAAAGCCUACAGCUCAACUGUAGAACUGCCAUUGAUACUGAUAUUCUUGAGUGUAGAUGAAGUGGGCGGAAUAUGUCAUGUAGCGGUGAAAUGCAUAGAUAUGACAUGGAACACCAAUUGCGAAGGCAGCUCACUAAACUAUUACUGACGCUCAUGAACGAAAGCGUGGGGAGCGAACAGGAUUAGAUA